Molecule: ribosomal RNA, 253 nt
Filed under: uncultured bacterium
Lineage: Bacteria
Description: partial 16S ribosomal RNA
Rfam family: Bacterial small subunit ribosomal RNA
Source: RNAcentral
UACGUAGGCAGCAAGCGUUGUCCGGAAUCACUGGGCGUAAAGGGCGCGUAGGCGGCUCAUGAAGGCUGUGGUGAAAGUCCGGGGCUCAACCUCGGAUCGGCCGUGGCGACUCGUGGGCUGGAGCACUGUAGAGGCGGGUGGAAUUCCGGGUGUAGCGGUGGAAUGCGUAGAGAUCCGGAAGAACACCAGUGGCGAAGGCGGCCCGCUGGGCAGUGGCUGACGCUGAAGCGCGACAGCGUGGGGAGCAAACAGG